CGGGGCAGCAAAGGGAGGCUUCACGGAGGCGGAGGCACUUGGGUUGGGAGAUGAGGAGGAGAAUUUCAAGCGCAAAGGGCAGCACAGAUCACAGGCACUGGGAGCCGGAAGGAGCCUCAGAGCCCCUUGGUUAAGGGCCCGGCAAUUUCUCUUUACCUACUCAGUGCAGAAUCCAGAAUCCGCCGCGCGGUUAGCUGCUCAGAUGUCGCCAGGCUUUCAUGGACGAACACUUCCCCUCUCGCUCCCCCUCCAACGUUCCAGCCUUCCCUGGGGACUGUGGCUGAGGAGGUAGGUGGUUUAGAACCAGCUUCCCAGAUGAACAGCUAGUUCGCGUGGCUUUUGAAGUUAUAGAAGCAAGAUACGCACAUUACAGAAAAUGUUGGAAAAUCAAGAAAAGCAAUCACCCACACUCCCACCUCCCCGCUGUGCGAGCCCGUUCUGCUCAUCCUUGGCUAUUUUUCCCCAAACCUACAGCGUUUUUUAAAAACCUGUUGUAGUCCUACUUUCCAUUUCGGUGUGAACCCUGAGCCUUCCAUUUAAAGCUGUGGUACACGCUCUUGUCAUAGUUUUCUUUCUUCAUGAAUACACAGCGGCAUCGAGCGGCUGAACCACACUGUCUGUAAGGUGGUUCCGCCCCCGUUUGGCAAUUCGGGUGUUUGCCAGUUUCUACCUGCAGCGAACGUCCUGCCUAGAACUUUUUCCGAAAGCAAAAAGGACUUCCUCGGACCAGAUUCCUGGAAGAGAAAUGACUGAUCGGAAGUUGUGGGUAUCUUCUCGGCUCUGGAUAUACAUCCCUUGUCAGAUGGUCACAGAGACUUUAUUUUGAAUUAUGAUUGUCAUAGCCGAUGCCAUUAUUGUUAUGAAAGUAUAGAGCGAAUAAAAAUCAACCAUCCCCCCCCCA
Felis catus (domestic cat) is the source of this 901-nucleotide long non-coding RNA. RefSeq lists it as uncharacterized. The transcript is spliced from 2 exons. The record is from RefSeq and is a predicted model, not a curated record. NCBI's taxonomy places the organism in Eukaryota, Metazoa, Chordata, Mammalia, Carnivora, Felidae.